RNAcentral lists this ribosomal RNA (433 nucleotides) under uncultured bacterium. RNAcentral describes it as "partial 16S ribosomal RNA". It matches the Rfam family "Bacterial small subunit ribosomal RNA", at positions 29 to 507 of the family's 1533-position model. The record is from RNAcentral.
AACGAACGCUGGCGGCAUGCCUAACACAUGCAAGUCGAACGAGACCUUCGGGUCUAGUGGCGCACGGGUGCGUAACGCGUGGGAACCUGCCCUUAGGUUCGGAAUACCUCCCCGAAAGGGGUGCUAAUACCGGAUAAUGUCUUCGGACCAAAGAUUUAUCGCCUUUGGAUGGGCCCGCGUUGAAUUAGCUAGUUGGUAGGGUAAAAGCCUACCAAGGCGACGAUCCAUAGCUGGUCUGAGAGGAUGAUCAGCCACACUGGGACGGAGACACGGCCCAGACUCCUACGGGAGGCAGCAGUGGGGAAUAUUGGAAAAUGGGCGAAAGCCUGAUCCAGCAAUGCCGCGUGAGUGAUGAAGGCCUUAGGGUUGUAAAGCUCUUUUACCCGGGAUGAUAAUGACAGUACCGGGAGAAUAAGCUCCGGCUAACUCCGUG